CCACCAUCGCUCCUGUG
RNAcentral lists this unclassified non-coding RNA (17 nucleotides) under Mus musculus (house mouse). Its description in RNAcentral is "oocyte_clustered_small_RNA5753". Lineage: Eukaryota; Metazoa; Chordata; Mammalia; Rodentia; Muridae. The record is from RNAcentral.